CCUACGGGAGGCAGCAGUGAGGAAUAUUGGUCAAUGGGCGCGAGCCUGAACCAGCCAAGUAGCGUGAAGGAUGACUGCCCUACGGGUUGUAAACUUCUUUUAUAAAGGAAUAAAGUGAGGCCCGUGUGCCUUUUUGUAUGUACUUUAUAAAUAAGAAUCGGCUAACUCCGUGCCAGCAGCCGCGUUAAUACGGAGGAUCCUAGGGUUAUCCGGAUUUAUUGGGUUUAAAGGGGCCGUAGGUGGGUUGUUAAGUCAGUUGGUAAAGUUUGCGGCUCAAACGUAAAAUUUCAAUUGAGACUGGCAGUCGUGAGUACAGGUGAGGUAGGCGGAAUUCGGGG
Molecule: ribosomal RNA, 338 nt
Filed under: uncultured bacterium
Lineage: Bacteria
Description: partial 16S ribosomal RNA
Rfam family: Bacterial small subunit ribosomal RNA
Source: RNAcentral